Molecule: long non-coding RNA, 416 nt
Organism: Linepithema humile (Argentine ant)
Lineage: Eukaryota; Metazoa; Arthropoda; Insecta; Hymenoptera; Formicidae
Source: RefSeq, a predicted model, not a curated record
AGAUGUCACAUUUGUCAGUCGUUUACAGCGUGUAAAAUGAAAAUGUUUUUACGGGUUUUAUUGCUGCUAUUCUGUUUCCUUUAUCGUCAUUGCCACGCACAAAUAAUUGAGAAAAUCACGGCAAUGCCGAACGGAAUAAGUACUACAAUGAGCGAUGCAAUGAUCUUAUCGACUGCCAUGGUUUGCACUAUGUUUUCCGUCGUAAUUGUCUUAGUUCCUACAGUACUAUAUUACAGAUACUGCUCUAAGGAAAAGGUUGAUGAAUAAUGGCUGCUACCUAAAUUAAAUAUCAUUGAUCCUAUUGGAAUUUGAAAUCAUCUAUUUUACGGACCAAAUUGAAUUGUUAAGUAAAUUUAAGCACUCGUGUAAGAUUAAAAUAAAAAAGAAUGUAAUUAAAUUUUUUAUUAUAGAUUGAC